RNAcentral lists this long non-coding RNA (23072 nucleotides) under Brassica napus (rape). Its description in RNAcentral is "long non-coding RNA (BNAP_LNC001650)". Lineage: Eukaryota; Viridiplantae; Streptophyta; Magnoliopsida; Brassicales; Brassicaceae. The record is from RNAcentral.
ACCCGGGUAAGUCUCUUUUACCUUUGGUCGAGUCUGGUCGAUACAAUGUGUACGGCCGGUACGGCCUGUACGGCCCGUCCGUACCAAACUCUCCCAUGCUCUCCAUUCCUUAGUUCUACACUUCCUUAUCUCUUCAUGCCUUCAACCCCUCAUCUCUUCUCCUUAUACUCAGCUCAUCUCAACAGGAAUCACCUGAUUUGAAAGUGGGAUAUCUUCUUCAUCCCAACUCCUAUGAGAUUUAUUCAACUUCCUGGUGAUUAUCCACCACUUUAUUUAUUCAAAUCAAGCUUCUCACAAAGUGAUACAUCCUGGUUUGAUUGGAACGACGAAGAAGCUGUGCUAUUCCCAAAUGACUUAGGGGAUCAGCUCCUUCUCUUACCAAGAUCAAUGAGUCCCAAUCUAAUGUGAAUGGACUCCAUUGUCUUUUGCCUUGCAGCCUUGGUGAACACAUCCGCUAACUGAUCUUCACUUCUAGUGUAGCAUGGCAAGAUCACUCCUAGCACAAUCAUCUGCCUCACCUUGUGACAAUCAACCUCAAUGUGCUUGGUUCUCUCAUGAAACACCGAGUUGGAGGCAAUGUGAAUGGCAGCUUGGUUAUCACAAUGCAUUGUCAUUGGCGUGGCUUGAUCAAUCUCCAAAUGCUUCAAGAUGCCCUUGAUCCACACCAGCUCGUUGGUCAGCUUCAGCAUAGCUCUAUACUCGGCUUCUGCACUUGAGCAAGACACCACCUUCUGCUUCUUACUCUUCCAAGUAACCAAGUUGCCUCCAAUGAAUGUGCAAUAGCCUGUGGUUGAUCUCCUGUCUGCUCUAUCACCAGCCCAAUCCGCAUCACAGUAUCCAACCACUUCAGUGCUCCCAUUGCAACCCAUCCAUACUCCUUGAUCAGGUGAGCCGUUGAGGUACAUCAAGAUCCUCUCCACCAUGCGCCAAUGAUGUUCCUUAGGCACUUGCAUGUGUUGACUCACCUGAUUCACAGCAAAGCAAAUAUCAGGUCUAGUUAUGGUAAGGUAAAUCAAUUUACCAACUAGCUUUCUAUAGAGUUUAGGAUCCUGAUAAGGUUUGCUGUCUUCAAUCUCCCCCUCUCGUGGGACUUUGUAGCCAUCCUCCAUAGGCAUCCUUGCUGUCUUGCCUCCAUAAGCACCUGCACCUUUCAAAAGAUCAAGUGUAUACUUCCUUUGGGACAUGAACAAACCUUCCUUGGAUCUACAUAUCUCAAUUCCAAGAAAGUAUUUCAUUUCUCCCAAGUCUUUAAUCUCAAACAUGGAUUUAAGAAACUCCUUGGUUGCUAUGAUACCUUCCUUAUCACUUCCUGUGAUAAUGAUAUCAUCAACAUACACAAGGAGUGCAAUCAUACCUGAGGAAGUAGUGAGAGUGAAGAGGGUGUGGUCUAGUUCAGACUUUUUGAAGCCUCGGCCAUUCAGAGUGGUACUCAGCUUGUUGUACCAAGCUCUUGGUGAUUGCUUUAGUCCAUAGAUGGCUUUCUUCAGUCUCAACACAUUCCCUCUCUUCACUAAGUGUUCCAAGCCUGGAGGUGGAUGCAUAUACACUUCAUCCUCCAGCUCUCCUUGUAGAAAUGCAUUCUUCACAUCCAUUUGCCAUAAGCCCCAUCCAAGGUUCACAGCUAAGCUUAAGACAAUCCGGAUUGUGUGAAGUUUAGCUACUGGUGCAAAGGUCUCAAUGUAAUCUUCUCCAUAAGUCUGAGUAAAGCCUCUUGCAACCAAUCUUGACUUCUUCCUCUCCACCUUUCCAUCAGCCUUAUACUUGAUUGUGAAGAUCCAUCUACUAGUCACCGCCUUCUUCCCUUUUGGUAACUCACUCUCAUACCAUGUAUCAUUCUUGAUCAUAGCUCCUGCCUCAGCUCCAACUGAUUCCUUCCAUUCUUUAUCCAUCAUUGCCUCUUCAUAGCUUCUUGGUAUGUAGUUCUCAUCCAAGUUUACCAUAAAAGCACAAUGUUCUUCAGGGUAUUGAGCAAAGGAACACACAGCUUGAGAAGGAUGCUCCACAGCCUGGGCAUUGUAGUACACUCUCGUGCUUACCCAGUUGGAAGCAUCUCUCCUGAUCCGUGUGCUUCUUCUCAAUGCUGGUUCCGGUUGUUCCACUUGUGAUUCUUCUCCACUUUCUUGUGGUACAGAAGUAGACACUUCAACUGCCUCUUCUUCUCCUAGCUGACUUGCUUCAGCUCCAUCUUGCUGUUCACUUACUUCCACAUCUUGAUCAUGUGUACCAGAUGCUUCACUACUCUCUUGAGUUGUCUCUGGUUCACUCCUUUCCCCCCCCAUGAUCAGAAGUGGGAGUUGCUGAACGCCCACCAGUUGGUGGUUGAGAUCCUGGGUUACUGCCAGAUCCUUGCUGAUCUUGUCUCACCUUGACUCCAAUACUUUCUAAGAUGAUCCGCAAGGUAGUGGCUCUCUCCGAGGUAAGAUCCUUCAAGUCUUCUUUGUUUUGCUCCUCAUAAUAUCCUCUCUCUUCAACAAACUUCACAUCCCUUGAUACCAGCACCCUUCUUGUGUCUGGAUUAUAACACUUGUAUCCCUUUUGAGUUGUAGAGUAGCCAAUAAACAUUGCCUUAGUACUCCUAGCUUCAAGCUUGUUUCUCAACUCCCCGGGUAUCAAAACAUAACAUAAACACCCAAAGAUCCUUAUAUGUUCUAAUGAGGGUUUAUGUUUGUUGAGAACCUCAAAUGGUGACUGCCCUUUCAGGAUCAGUGUGGGAGUCCUGUUGAUUAGAUAGCAGGCCGUGGCUACUGCAUCACUCCAAAACUUCUUAGGUACAUUAGCUUGAAACAUCAUUGAUCUUGCAACUUCCAUAAGGUGCCUAUUCUUCCUCUCAGCCACACCGUUCUGUUGUGGAGUGUAGGGACAGCUUGUUUGAUGAAGAAUUCCAUACUGAGAUAAGUGUUGCUUGAAAGCUUGUCCAAUGUAUUCUCCUCCAUUAUCUGACCUGAAAAUCUUAAUCUUGGCUUGAUAAUGGUUAGUUACAUAGGAUUGAAAAUUUUUAAAUGCAUCAAGUACCCUAUCUUUAGUUGGAAUUAAGGUUAACCAGGUGUAUUUAGAUUUUUCAUCAAUGAAUGAGACAUAAUACUUAUGAUUCUCUCUAGAUAAACAAGGAGCAGUCCAUACAUCAGAGUGAAUAAGAUCAAAGCACUUCUCAUAAACCGUAGAAGAGUUUGGAAAAACAGUUUUACAAUGCUUGCCUAAAAUGCAAGCUUCACAAUCAUUGUUUUCAAAAGAAACACCUGGCAACAUCAGUUUUAAAGCCUUAUUAUGAGGGUGUCCUAGUCUAGCAUGCCACAAUGCAUUCUUAUUUAAACUAGGAACAGAAGCAGUAGUAAACGAGCAGCUAAUAUCAGAAACAGGAGCAAGAUCUUCAAGCAAAUAUAAGUCUCCUUUUGUUACUCCUUUUCCAAUCACUUUGCUGCUUUCAAUAUCCUGAAACUUCACAUCAUCAGGGCUAAAUAUGACAUUGCAUUGCAAAUCAGUUGCACAUUUCUUGACAGAUAAUAAGUUUGAAGUAAAGUCAGGCAUAUAGAAAGCUUUUGAGUCUUUACUAAACAGUUUAAGUGUUCCUAUUCCUUUAAUUGGAACCUUAUCCCCAUUUGCAAUCAUCACAUGACCCUUAGUAGGCACAAUGUUCUUAAUUAACUUAGUAUCACUAAUCAUGUGAUGUGAAGCACCUGAAUCUACAAUAAGAGGUCUAGUUGAUUGAUUACUAGCAAGGUGAGCGAGUAUACUAGAUGGCUUAUAUGCAUUGUAGUUAUUUGCACUUCUUAGAGACCUAGCUAUACUAUCAGUUCUAGUGAUGCAAUCUAAGUCUCCUACAGUCCUAGCAAUCAUGGAAGCACCAUAAGAAUAACCAUAGAUGUUACCGUUAUCCUUGAACAUCUUGAUGAGUGCAUCAAUGUCAGCCUUCCUUAUGAAGUCCUGAUCAUUGUUGCGGCUGCUAGGAGCUCCCAUGUACGCCACCAGAGACUUGCCAUCACUUGUACCACCUUCUUGAGCCUUGCUAGUACCCACAUCACUUGACCCGUCAGACAUGUGAGCUCUAGCUUCCCUUUCCUUCAUGAACUUUGCCGGUUUGAGGUGUGGGUGGAGUAUCCAACACUGGCUCUUCUUGUGGCCUUGCUUCUUGCAAUGAUCACAGCUCCCAUUGAACCUCCUAUCCUCAAACUUCCCAUUCGUAGCUCUGUUAGCUUGUGGAGUCUCUCCUUGCUCAGCUUGAGCGGCUUGGUUAGCUAAAGACAACUCCCCCUUCUUCCCAAACAACCCAAUUGACCCUUGCUCUUUCUGAAUCCUAGAACACACUUCCUCCAAGUCAGGUAGAGUAUCAUCUCUCAGCAUGUGUUGUAUCAGCCCACUGUAUGCCGGAUUCAGUGUCAAGAGCAGUCCAAAGACCUUGUCCUGCUCACGCCUUUUGAUUAGCUCACUAGGAUCCACCGUGCUUGGCCUCAACAUCUCUAGCUCGGACCAGAGUGACCUGAACCUUCCUAGGUGCUUGGUAAACUCCAUGUCUUCUUGAGUCAAGUUGUUGAUCUCUUGCUUUACCUCAAAGACUCUGCUCAGGUUGGAUGUGUUUCCAUACACCCUCUUUAAGGUAUCCCACAACUCCUUUGCUGUCUCACAGUAGCAGUAUGCAUCCAGAAUCGCCGGCUCUAAGGAAGCAUGAAGAACUGACAUCACCAUCAUGUCUUCCUGCUCCCACCUCUCAAAUGGAUCCUUUGCUGUCUCAUCCUUGUCUUCUUCUUGAGCAACCGGCUUUGGGGCCGUUCCAGAGGUAAUGUGUCCCCACAAGCCUUUGCUCCCAACUGCGGUCUUUACCAUCCGUGACCAAACUAGGUAGUUGUUCCCCUUGAACACUACCGCCACCUUCAUCUUCAUCCCACUAUCCAUCUUGAAGCAGCUAGACGUAAACAGCUUGCUAAAUCUUGGACUGAGAGUAGUAAUCACACCAACAAGACUAGAAACACAACCGGAGAAGACUUGAAGCUUGAAUCUUCAACGCCCAGCUCCUAGCUUCUAUCCUUUGUCUUGAUACAAACCUCAACAAGAACUCAGAUUCUCACGAACCUGGCUCUGAUACCAUAUGACUUUAGAGUAAUAAAGAGUAAUCUGAGUGUUUAGAAUAGAUUUGAGAGAGAUUAGAGAAGAAACGAGUGUAGAGAGUAAGAGAUUAGAUCAAGAGUCUAAGAGAAAUGCCAUGGAGGCUAAGAAUACUCAGAACUGUCUAAUCUUAUUAAUGAGACUGAGUUACAUAUAUAUAGUGUCGAGAUUAGGGCUUUACAAUACAAGAGGAUAAGCUAAAGCAUGUGUAGUCAAAGAAGGGUGGAGCGCUUAGUUUAAAAUGAUCCAAUGAGGUUCUCCACAUGUGUAAGGCAUCUAGGAUCUUGGAUAAGAUCCCUUUUACCUUUCCAGCUGUGCCAGACUGUCACGCCCAGCUUCUUCCUUUCCCUUAACGGUCACAACUCAUCCUAAGCUUUGGGUAAAGCUUCUUCCCUUCAACCGAGUUACCCGGGUAAGUCUCUUUUACCUUUGGUCGAGUCUGGUCGAUACAAUCUGUACGGCCGGUACGGCCGGUACGGCCUGUCCGGCCCGUCCGUACCAAACUCUCCCAUGCUCUCCAUUCCUUAGUUCUACACUUCCUUAUCUCUUCAUGCCUUCAACCCCUCAUCUCUUCUCCUUAUACUCAGCUCAUCUUAACACUCCCCCUCAAUCUUAGCUUUGUGAAAGUCUAAGAUUGGACAGCCAUGAGAUCUUCCUCAUUAAAAACCUUACCAAGGAAAACCCAUUGGGAUAAAACCUUGAUAAGGGAAAAAGAGUAAAGACCUCAUGACUUAGGGGAUCAGCUCCUUCUCUUACCAAGAUCAAUGAGUCCCAAUCUAAUGUGAAUGGACUCCAUUGUCUUUUGCCUUGCAGCCUUGGUGAACACAUCCGCUAACUGAUCUUCACUUCUAGUGUAGCAUGGCAAGAUCACUCCUAGCACAAUCAUCUGCCUCACCUUGUGACAAUCAACCUCAAUGUGCUUGGUUCUCUCAUGAAACACCGAGUUGGAGGCAAUGUGAAUGGCAGCUUGGUUAUCACAAUGCAUUGUCAUUGGCGUGGCUUGAUCAAUCUCCAAAUGCUUCAAGAUGCCCUUGAUCCACACCAGCUCGUUGGUCAGCUUCAGCAUAGCUCUAUACUCGGCUUCUGCACUUGAGCAAGACACCACCUUCUGCUUCUUACUCUUCCAAGUAACCAAGUUGCCUCCAAUGAAUGUGCAAUAGCCUGUGGUUGAUCUCCUGUCUGCUCUAUCACCAGCCCAAUCCGCAUCACAGUAUCCAACCACUUCAGUGCUCCCAUUGCAACCCAUCCAUACUCCUUGAUCAGGUGAGCCGUUGAGGUACAUCAAGAUCCUCUCCACCAUGCGCCAAUGAUGUUCCUUAGGCACUUGCAUGUGUUGACUCACCUGAUUCACAGCAAAGCAAAUAUCAGGUCUAGUUAUGGUAAGGUAAAUCAAUUUACCAACUAGCUUUCUAUAGAGUUUAGGAUCCUGAUAAGGUUUGCUGUCUUCAAUCUCCCCCUCUCGUGGGACUUUGUAGCCAUCCUCCAUAGGCAUCCUUGCUGUCUUGCCUCCAUAAGCACCUGCACCUUUCAAAAGAUCAAGUGUAUACUUCCUUUGGGACAUGAACAAACCUUCCUUGGAUCUACAUAUCUCAAUUCCAAGAAAGUAUUUCAUUUCUCCCAAGUCUUUAAUCUCAAACAUGGAUUUAAGAAACUCCUUGGUUGCUAUGAUACCUUCCUUAUCACUUCCUGUGAUAAUGAUAUCAUCAACAUACACAAGGAGUGCAAUCAUACCUGAGGAAGUAGUGAGAGUGAAGAGGGUGUGGUCUAGUUCAGACUUUUUGAAGCCUCGGCCAUUCAGAGUGGUACUCAGCUUGUUGUACCAAGCUCUUGGUGAUUGCUUUAGUCCAUAGAUGGCUUUCUUCAGUCUCAACACAUUCCCUCUCUUCACUAAGUGUUCCAAGCCUGGAGGUGGAUGCAUAUACACUUCAUCCUCCAGCUCUCCUUGUAGAAAUGCAUUCUUCACAUCCAUUUGCCAUAAGCCCCAUCCAAGGUUCACAGCUAAGCUUAAGACAAUCCGGAUUGUGUGAAGUUUAGCUACUGGUGCAAAGGUCUCAAUGUAAUCUUCUCCAUAAGUCUGAGUAAAGCCUCUUGCAACCAAUCUUGACUUCUUCCUCUCCACCUUUCCAUCAGCCUUAUACUUGAUUGUGAAGAUCCAUCUACUAGUCACCGCCUUCUUCCCUUUUGGUAACUCACUCUCAUACCAUGUAUCAUUCUUGAUCAUAGCUCCUGCCUCAGCUCCAACUGAUUCCUUCCAUUCUUUAUCCAUCAUUGCCUCUUCAUAGCUUCUUGGUAUGUAGUUCUCAUCCAAGUUUACCAUAAAAGCACAAUGUUCUUCAGGGUAUUGAGCAAAGGAACACACAGCUUGAGAAGGAUGCUCCACAGCCUGGGCAUUGUAGUACACUCUCGUGCUUACCCAGUUGGAAGCAUCUCUCCUGAUCCGUGUGCUUCUUCUCAAUGCUGGUUCCGGUUGUUCCACUUGUGAUUCUUCUCCACUUUCUUGUGGUACAGAAGUAGACACUUCAACUGCCUCUUCUUCUCCUAGCUGACUUGCUUCAGCUCCAUCUUGCUGUUCACUUACUUCCACAUCUUGAUCAUGUGUACCAGAUGCUUCACUACUCUCUUGAGUUGUCUCUGGUUCACUCCUUUCCCCCCCCAUGAUCAGAAGUGGGAGUUGCUGAACGCCCACCAGUUGGUGGUUGAGAUCCUGGGUUACUGCCAGAUCCUUGCUGAUCUUGUCUCACCUUGACUCCAAUACUUUCUAAGAUGAUCCGCAAGGUAGUGGCUCUCUCCGAGGUAAGAUCCUUCAAGUCUUCUUUGUUUUGCUCCUCAUAAUAUCCUCUCUCUUCAACAAACUUCACAUCCCUUGAUACCAGCACCCUUCUUGUGUCUGGAUUAUAACACUUGUAUCCCUUUUGAGUUGUAGAGUAGCCAAUAAACAUUGCCUUAGUACUCCUAGCUUCAAGCUUGUUUCUCAACUCCCCGGGUAUCAAAACAUAACAUAAACACCCAAAGAUCCUUAUAUGUUCUAAUGAGGGUUUAUGUUUGUUGAGAACCUCAAAUGGUGACUGCCCUUUCAGGAUCAGUGUGGGAGUCCUGUUGAUUAGAUAGCAGGCCGUGGCUACUGCAUCACUCCAAAACUUCUUAGGUACAUUAGCUUGAAACAUCAUUGAUCUUGCAACUUCCAUAAGGUGCCUAUUCUUCCUCUCAGCCACACCGUUCUGUUGUGGAGUGUAGGGACAGCUUGUUUGAUGAAGAAUUCCAUACUGAGAUAAGUGUUGCUUGAAAGCUUGUCCAAUGUAUUCUCCUCCAUUAUCUGACCUGAAAAUCUUAAUCUUGGCUUGAUAAUGGUUAGUUACAUAGGAUUGAAAAUUUUUAAAUGCAUCAAGUACCCUAUCUUUAGUUGGAAUUAAGGUUAACCAGGUGUAUUUAGAUUUUUCAUCAAUGAAUGAGACAUAAUACUUAUGAUUCUCUCUAGAUAAACAAGGAGCAGUCCAUACAUCAGAGUGAAUAAGAUCAAAGCACUUCUCAUAAACCGUAGAAGAGUUUGGAAAAACAGUUUUACAAUGCUUGCCUAAAAUGCAAGCUUCACAAUCAUUGUUUUCAAAAGAAACACCUGGCAACAUCAGUUUUAAAGCCUUAUUAUGAGGGUGUCCUAGUCUAGCAUGCCACAAUGCAUUCUUAUUUAAACUAGGAACAGAAGCAGUAGUAAACGAGCAGCUAAUAUCAGAAACAGGAGCAAGAUCUUCAAGCAAAUAUAAGUCUCCUUUUGUUACUCCUUUUCCAAUCACUUUGCUGCUUUCAAUAUCCUGAAACUUCACAUCAUCAGGGCUAAAUAUGACAUUGCAUUGCAAAUCAGUUGCACAUUUCUUGACAGAUAAUAAGUUUGAAGUAAAGUCAGGCAUAUAGAAAGCUUUUGAGUCUUUACUAAACAGUUUAAGUGUUCCUAUUCCUUUAAUUGGAACCUUAUCCCCAUUUGCAAUCAUCACAUGACCCUUAGUAGGCACAAUGUUCUUAAUUAACUUAGUAUCACUAAUCAUGUGAUGUGAAGCACCUGAAUCUACAAUAAGAGGUCUAGUUGAUUGAUUACUAGCAAGGUGAGCGAGUAUACUAGAUGGCUUAUAUGCAUUGUAGUUAUUUGCACUUCUUAGAGACCUAGCUAUACUAUCAGUUCUAGUGAUGCAAUCUAAGUCUCCUACAGUCCUAGCAAUCAUGGAAGCACCAUAAGAAUAACCAUAGAUGUUACCGUUAUCCUUGAACAUCUUGAUGAGUGCAUCAAUGUCAGCCUUCCUUAUGAAGUCCUGAUCAUUGUUGCGGCUGCUAGGAGCUCCCAUGUACGCCACCAGAGACUUGCCAUCACUUGUACCACCUUCUUGAGCCUUGCUAGUACCCACAUCACUUGACCCGUCAGACAUGUGAGCUCUAGCUUCCCUUUCCUUCAUGAACUUUGCCGGUUUGAGGUGUGGGUGGAGUAUCCAACACUGGCUCUUCUUGUGGCCUUGCUUCUUGCAAUGAUCACAGCUCCCAUUGAACCUCCUAUCCUCAAACUUCCCAUUCGUAGCUCUGUUAGCUUGUGGAGUCUCUCCUUGCUCAGCUUGAGCGGCUUGGUUAGCUAAAGACAACUCCCCCUUCUUCCCAAACAACCCAAUUGACCCUUGCUCUUUCUGAAUCCUAGAACACACUUCCUCCAAGUCAGGUAGAGUAUCAUCUCUCAGCAUGUGUUGUAUCAGCCCACUGUAUGCCGGAUUCAGUGUCAAGAGCAGUCCAAAGACCUUGUCCUGCUCACGCCUUUUGAUUAGCUCACUAGGAUCCACCGUGCUUGGCCUCAACAUCUCUAGCUCGGACCAGAGUGACCUGAACCUUCCUAGGUGCUUGGUAAACUCCAUGUCUUCUUGAGUCAAGUUGUUGAUCUCUUGCUUUACCUCAAAGACUCUGCUCAGGUUGGAUGUGUUUCCAUACACCCUCUUUAAGGUAUCCCACAACUCCUUUGCUGUCUCACAGUAGCAGUAUGCAUCCAGAAUCGCCGGCUCUAAGGAAGCAUGAAGAACUGACAUCACCAUCAUGUCUUCCUGCUCCCACCUCUCAAAUGGAUCCUUUGCUGUCUCAUCCUUGUCUUCUUCUUGAGCAACCGGCUUUGGGGCCGUUCCAGAGGUAAUGUGUCCCCACAAGCCUUUGCUCCCAACUGCGGUCUUUACCAUCCGUGACCAAACUAGGUAGUUGUUCCCCUUGAACACUACCGCCACCUUCAUCUUCAUCCCACUAUCCAUCUUGAAGCAGCUAGACGUAAACAGCUUGCUAAAUCUUGGACUGAGAGUAGUAAUCACACCAACAAGACUAGAAACACAACCGGAGAAGACUUGAAGCUUGAAUCUUCAACGCCCAGCUCCUAGCUUCUAUCCUUUGUCUUGAUACAAACCUCAACAAGAACUCAGAUUCUCACGAACCUGGCUCUGAUACCAUAUGACUUUAGAGUAAUAAAGAGUAAUCUGAGUGUUUAGAAUAGAUUUGAGAGAGAUUAGAGAAGAAACGAGUGUAGAGAGUAAGAGAUUAGAUCAAGAGUCUAAGAGAAAUGCCAUGGAGGCUAAGAAUACUCAGAACUGUCUAAUCUUAUUAAUGAGACUGAGUUACAUAUAUAUAGUGUCGAGAUUAGGGCUUUACAAUACAAGAGGAUAAGCUAAAGCAUGUGUAGUCAAAGAAGGGUGGAGCGCUUAGUUUAAAAUGAUCCAAUGAGGUUCUCCACAUGUGUAAGGCAUCUAGGAUCUUGGAUAAGAUCCCUUUUACCUUUCCAGCUGUGCCAGACUGUCACGCCCAGCUUCUUCCUUUCCCUUAACGGUCACAACUCAUCCUAAGCUUUGGGUAAAGCUUCUUCCCUUCAACCGAGUUACCCGGGUAAGUCUCUUUUACCUUUGGUCGAGUCUGGUCGAUACAAUGUGUACGGCCGGGAAGGCCGGGAAACCCGGGUAAGUCUCUUUUACCUUUGGUCGAGUCUGGUCGAUACAAUCUGUACGGCCGGUACGGCCGGUACGGCCUGUACGGCCCGUCCGUACCAAACUCUCCCAUGCUCUCCAUUCCUUAGUUCUACACUUCCUUAUCUCUUCAUGCCUUCAACCCCUCAUCUCUUCUCCUUAUACUCAGCUCAUCUCAACACUCCCCCUCAAUCUUAGCUUUGUGAAAGUCUAAGAUUGGACAGCCAUGAGAUCUUCCUCAUUAAAAACCUUACCAAGGAAAACCCAUUGGGAUAAAACCUUGAUAAGGGAAAAAGAGUAAAGACCUCAUGACUUAGGGGAUCAGCUCCUUCUCUUACCAAGAUCAAUGAGUCCCAAUCUAAUGUGAAUGGACUCCAUUGUCUUUUGCCUUGCAGCCUUGGUGAACACAUCCGCUAACUGAUCUUCACUUCUAGUGUAGCAUGGCAAGAUCACUCCUAGCACAAUCAUCUGCCUCACCUUGUGACAAUCAACCUCAAUGUGCUUGGUUCUCUCAUGAAACACCGAGUUGGAGGCAAUGUGAAUGGCAGCUUGGUUAUCACAAUGCAUUGUCAUUGGCGUGGCUUGAUCAAUCUCCAAAUGCUUCAAGAUGCCCUUGAUCCACACCAGCUCGUUGGUCAGCUUCAGCAUAGCUCUAUACUCGGCUUCUGCACUUGAGCAAGACACCACCUUCUGCUUCUUACUCUUCCAAGUAACCAAGUUGCCUCCAAUGAAUGUGCAAUAGCCUGUGGUUGAUCUCCUGUCUGCUCUAUCACCAGCCCAAUCCGCAUCACAAUAUCCAACCACUUCAGUACUCCCAUUGCAACCCAUCCAUACUCCUUGAUCAGGUGAGCCGUUGAGAUACAUCAAGAUCCUCUCCACCAUGCGCCAAUGAUGUUCCUUAGGCACUUGCAUGUGUUGACUCACCUGAUUCACAGCAAAGCAAAUAUCAGGUCUAGUUAUGGUAAGGUAAAUCAAUUUACCAACUAGCUUUCUAUAGAGUUUAGGAUCCUGAUAAGGUUUGCUGUCUUCAAUCUCCCCCUCUCGUGGGACUUUGUAGCCAUCCUCCAUAGGCAUCCUUGCUGUCUUGCCUCUAUAAGCACCUGCACCUUUCAAAAGAUCAAGUGUAUACUUCCUUUGGGACAUGAACAAACCUUCCUUGGAUCUACAUAUCUCAAUUCCAAGAAAGUAUUUCAUUUCUCCCAAGUCUUUAAUCUCAAACAUGGAUUUAAGGAACUCCUUGGUUGCUAUGAUACCUUCCUUAUCACUUCCUGUGAUAAUGAUAUCAUGAACAUACACAAGGAGUGCAAUCAUACCUGAGGAAGUAGUGAGAGUGAAGAGGGUGUGGUCUAGUUCAGACUUCUUGAAGCCUCGUCCAUUCAGAGUAGUACUCAGCUUGUUGUACCAAGCUCUUGGUGAUUGCUUCAGUCCAUAGAUAGCUUUCUUCAGUCUCAACACAUUCCCUCUCUUCACUAAGUGUUCCAAGCCUGGAGGUGGAUGCAUAUACACUUCAUCCUCCAGCUCUCCUUGUAGAAAUGCAUUCUUCACAUCCAUUUGCCAUAAGCCCCAUCCAAGGUUCACAGCUAAGCUUAAGACAAUCCGGAUUGUGUGAAGUUUAGCUACUGGUGCAAAGGUCUCAAUGUAAUCUUCUCCAUAAGUUUGAGUAAAGCCUCUUGCAACCAAUCUUGACUUCUUCCUCUCCACCUUUCCAUCAGCCUUAGGUCUCAAUGUAAUCCUCUCCAUAAGUUUGAGUGAAACCUCUUGCAACCAGUCUUGACUUCUUCCUCUCAAUUGUUCCAUCAGCCUUAUACUUGAUUGUGAAGAUCCAUCUACUAGUCACAGCCUUCUUCCCUUUUGGUAACUCACUCUCAUACCAUGUAUCAUUCUUGAUCAUAGCUCCUGCCUCAGCUCCAACUGACUCCUUCCAUUCUUUAUCCAUGAUUGCUUCUUCAUAGCUUCUUGGGAUGUAGUUCUCAUCCAAGUUAACCAUGAAGGCACAAUGUUCUUCAGGGUAUUGAGCAAAGGAACACACAACUUGAGAAGGAUGCUCCACAGCUUGGGCAUUGUAGUACACUCGCGUGUUUACCCAAGAGGAAGGAUCCUUUCUCAGCCUUGUGCUCCUCCUCAAUACAGGUUGUUCUUGCUCUUGAACCGGCUCAGCUUGUGUAUGCGGUUCUUGUGCUUCACUCUGAUGUUCUUCCUCUCCUUGGUCUUGCUCACCUUGAUGAUGAGAACCUGAGUUGAACUCUUCUCCUUCCUCACUCAAGCCGACUCCUUCUUGGCCAUUUUCUUGAGUUUCAGGUUCACUUCCCCCCUCAUGAUCAAGGUGAGGUGUUUGAGCAGCUCCACUUGGUGCAGUUGAGCUCUCUUCUUGUCUUCCACUUCUUGUGGAUUGAUCCUGGUUCAUCUUGAUACCAAGACCUUCCAAAAUGAUUCUUAAGACUCCAGCCUUAUCUGAUGUGAGAUCCUUCAAAUCUUCUUGAUUCUUCUCCUCAUAGUAUCCUCUUUCUUCAAUGAACUUCACAUCUCUAGAUACAAGCACCCUUCUAGCUUCUGGAUCAUAACACUUAUAUCCUUUUUGAGUUGUUGAGUAGCCAAUGAACAUUGCCUUUCUGCUCCUUGCUUCUAGCUUGUUCCUCAACUCUCCUGGUACUAGAACAUAGCAUAAGCAUCCAAACACUCUCAUGUAUUCCAAGGAUGGCUUGUGCUUGUUCAGAACUUCAAAUGGUGCUUGAUCCUUCAACACCUUUGUAGGCAUCCUGUUGAUUAGGUAGCACGCAGUGGAUACAGCAUCACUCCAGAAUCUCUUAGGUACAUUGGCUUGGAACAUCNNNNNNNNNNNNNNNNNNNNNNNNNNNNNNNNCAUCACUCCAGAAUCUCUUAGGUACAUUAGCUUGGAACAUCAGUGACCGAGCCACUUCCAUCAAGUGCCUGUUCUUCCUCUCAGCUACACCAUUCUGUUGUGGUGUGUAGGGACAGCUUGUUUGAUGAAGGAUUCCAUGGUGAUCUAGAUGACUCUUGAACGCAUAGCUUGUGUCCUCUCCUCCAUUAUCUGAUCUCAAAAUUUUAAUCCUAGCAUGAUAAUGGUUAGUCACAUAAGCUUGAAAGUUCUUGAAUGCAUCUAUCACCCUAUCUUUUGAUGGAAUGAGUGUUAACCAGGUGUAUUUAGAUUUUUCAUCAAUGAAUGUGACAAAAUACUUAUGAUUAUCUCUAGAAAAACUAGGUGCAGUCCACACAUCAGUAUGAAUCAAAUCAAAGCAAUUUUCAUAAACAGUAGAUGUUCUUGGAAACACAUUCUUACAAUGCUUGCCUAAAAUGCAAGCUUCACACUUAUUAUUUUCAAAAACCACACCUGGUAACAUCAAGUUUAAAGCCCUCUCAUGGGGAUGACCUAGUCUAGCAUGCCACAAUGCAUUUUUAUUCAAACUAGAAGCAGAAGUAAAUGAGCAGUUAUAAUUGGAAACAGGAUCAAGCUUCUCAAGCAUGUAUAAGUCUCCCUUUGUAACUCCUUUUCCAAUCAAUUGGCUGCUCUCAAUAUCCUGAAACUUCACAUCAUUAGGACUGAAUAUAACAUUGCAAUUUAAAUCAGUAGUGCAUUUCUUAACUGAAAGUAGGUUUGAUGUGAAUUCCGGAAUAUAAAAAGCUCUAGUGUUCUUAUCAAAUAGCUUUAAGUUUCCUAUUCCCUUAAUAGGUAUUUUAUCCCCAUUUGCAAUCAUCACACAUCCAUUAGUAGGUUCUAUAUCUUUAAUCAGGUUGGUGUCACUAAUCAUAUGAUGAGAUGCACCUGAAUCUAUAAUCAAUGGUUUGGAUGUAUUGCUAGCACUAUGGCAGAUGCUAAUCUGUGAUCUAUAUGCAUUCAUCCUAGCAUUUCUAUCAAUGCAAUGCUCAAUUCCAGUCUUACUAUCAAUCCUAGCAAUCUCAGCCACAUUAGGAGUCAUUUCUAUAGUUCUAGCAAUCAUAGAAGCACCAAAUGAAUACCCAUGAAUGUUACCAUUAUCCUUGAGCAUUUUGAUGAGUGCAUCCAUCUCGGAUCUCCUGAUGAAGUCUUGAUCAUUGCCUCGGGGGUUGAUAGCUCCAGUGUAGGUCACCAAAGCCUUUCCAUCUCCUUCACGGUUCUCCACUUCAGCUCCACGGUUGGAUGGCCCUGCUCCGCUUGAUCCUUCAGUCAUGUGAGCUUUUGCCUCUCUCUCCUUCAUGAACUUAGCCGGCUUCAAGUGGGGAUGGAGUAUCCAGCACUGACUCUUCUUGUGUCCAUGCUUCUUGCAGUGAUCACAAUUCCCAUUGAACUUCCUAUCCUCAUACUUGUUGUAACCAGCUUUGUUAGCUUGUGGAGGCUCUUCCCGGUCAGGUUGCACAGCGUUUGCAAGAGAUAAGUCUCCCUUGCCUCCAAACAAACCCAUUGAGCCCUGCUCCUUCUGUAUCUUAGCACACACCUCUUCAAGGUCAGGCAGCUUCUCAGACCAUAGCAUGUGCUGGAUAAGACCACUGUAGCUUGCAUUCAACGUGAGCAGCAACCCAAAGACCUUGUCCUGCUCGCGUCUCUCAUUUAGAAGCUCUGGAUCAACCGUGCUUGGCCUCAGCAUCUCCAACUCAGACCAAAGAGACCUGAACCUCCCCAAGUGCUUAGUGAACUCCGUGUCAUCUUGAGUUAACCCAUUGAUUGCCUUCUUGACUUCAAACACUCGGUUCAGGUUAGAAGUGUUUCCAUACACUUUCUGUAGAGUAUCCCACAGCUCCUUGGCUGUCUCACAGUAGCUAUAAGCAUCUAGUAUAGCCGGCUCCAAAGAGGCAUGUAGGACAGACAUCACCAUCAUGUCUUCUUGUUGCCACUUCUCUACAACGCUCUCCUCGGGACUCUCCGUUUCACCCCCCUGAGUAAUCACCUUUGGAGCCUCACCAGAUGUGAUAUGCUUCCACAAACCCUUGCUUCCCACAGCAGUUUUCACCAUCCUAGACCAGACUAGGUAGUUGGUUCCUUUGAAUGUCACCGCGACCUUCAUCUUCAUGCCACUCUCCAUCUUGAACAGCUUGACGUUUAAAACUUGAACAACCGGUUAGAUCUUGAACUGAGAACCCACGCUGCUCUCUAGAACACAGAUUCACUCUUGAGUCUUCAAAUGAACCUCCCACGGACCACCAAGACACACACAAAACACCUUGAGCUUUUGAACUCUCACGAAACUCUCAAACACACUCACUUGUUCUCUUAAAGUUUCAAACUUGAAUCCUUAAGAGAAUCACUCACGAACUCAGAUUGUAAUCAACCUGGCUCUGAUACCAUAUGACUUUUAGGAAUAUAAAGAUUAAUCUGAGUUUAGAAUAGGAUUAAGGAAGAGAAUAAGAGAUUUACGAAACUGAUUAGAGACUAAUGGAGAAUCAUGAUGAAAUGAGUAAAGAGAAAGAUUGUUUAGAACUGUCUAAUCUUUAUUAAGAGAUGAGAUUACAUAUAUAUAGGUCCAUACACUUAGGGUUUUCGAAAUCAUAAAGCUAAGUAAGCAUGUAGAGUCAAAGAGGAGCCUAAGCUUUAAUUUGAACCGGCCAAUGAGUGUCUUCACACGUUUGGAGCAUCUUCUUGAUCCAAGACUAGAUGCUCUUCCUUUCCAGCUCUUGCCAGCCUGUCCUAGCUGUCAAGCCGCGUCUCCCUUAUCCUCUCAACGUUCGGAUAAGGUCUUGGCCGAGUGUAACUAAAGCUCAGUACAUGGGAGUUACUUGGAUAGUUACUUGAUCCCUUUUACCUUGUACGGAUGAUCACUUGUACGGCCUUGUACGGAUGAUCAACCCAUUUCUCCUCUUCACCUCUUUGCUCUCUUUAUGUUCUCAACUCCUUUGUGUCUUUACCUCAAAUGUCUCAACUCUGAUUAACACUCCCCCUCAAGCUUAGCUUUGUGAAAGUCUAAGCUUGGACAGCCAUGAGAUCUUCCUCAUUAAAAACCUUACCAAGGAAAACCCAUUGGGAUAAAACCUUGAUAAGGGAAAAAGAGUAAAGACCUCACAGCCAAAGGGGAUCAGCUCCUUCUCUUCCCAAGAUCAAUGAGGCCCAACCUGAUGUGAAUGGACUCCAUUGUCUUCUGUCUUGCAGCCUUGGUGAACACAUCCGCUAACUGAUCUUCACUUCUUGUGUAGCAUGGCAAGAUGACUCCUAAGAUGAUCAUCUGCCUCACCUUGUGACAAUCCACUUCAAUGUGCUUGGUUCUCUCAUGGAACACCGAGUUGGAGGCAAUGUGGAUGGCAGCUUGGUUAUCACAAUGCAUUGUCAUUGGCGUGGCUUGAUCAAUCUCCAAAUGCUUUAAGAUGCCCUUGAUCCACACCAGCUCGUUGGUCAGCUUCAGCAUAGCUCUAUACUCAGCUUCUGCACUUGAGCAAGACACCACCUUCUGCUUCUUACUCUUCCAAGUAACCAAGUUGCCUCCAAUGAAUGUGCAAUAGCCUGUGGUUGAUCUCCUGUCUGCUCUAUCACCAGCCCAAUCCGCAUCACAAUAUCCAACCACUUCAGUACUCCCAUUGCAACCCAUCCAUACUCCUUGAUCAGGUGAGCCGUUGAGAUACAUCAAGAUCCUCUCCACCAUGCGCCAAUGAUGUUCCUUAGGCACUUGCAUGUGUUGACUCACCUGAUUCACAGCAAAGCAAAUGUCAGGCCUAGUUAUGGUAAGGUAAAUCAAUUUGCCAACUAGCUUUCUAUAGAGUUUAGGAUCCUGAUAAGGUUUGCUGUCUUCAAUCUCCCCCUCUCGUGGGACUUUGUAGCCAUCCUCCAUAGGCAUCCUUGCUGUCUUGCCUCCAUAAGCACCUGCACCUUUCAAAAGAUCAAGUGUAUACUUCCUUUGGGACAUGAACAAACCUUCCUUGGAUCUACAUAUCUCAAUUCCAAGAAAGUAUUUCAUUUCUCCCAAGUCUUUAAUCUCAAACAUGGAUUUAAGGAACUCCUUGGUUGCUAUGAUACCUUCCUUAUCACUUCCUGUGAUAAUGAUAUCAUCAACAUACACAAGGAGUGCAAUCAUACCUGAGGAAGUAGUGAGAGUGAAGAGGGUGUGGUCUAGUUCAGACUUCUUGAAGCCUCGUCCAUUCAGAGUAGUACUCAGCUUGUUGUACCAAGCUCUUGGUGAUUGCUUCAGUCCAUAGAUAGCUUUCUUCAGUCUCAACACAUUCCCUCUCUUCACUAAGUGUUCCAAGCCUGGAGGUGGAUGCAUAUACACUUCAUCCUCCAGCUCUCCUUGUAGAAAUGCAUUCUUCACAUCCAUUUGCCAUAAGCCCCAUCCAAGAUUCACAGCCAAGCUUAAUACAAUCCGGAUUGUGUGCAGUUUAGCUACUGGUGCAAAGGUCUCAAUGUAAUCCUCUCCAUAAGUUUGAGUGAAACCUCUUGCAACCAGUCUUGACUUCUUCCUCUCAAUUGUUCCAUCAGCCUUAUACUUGAUUGUGAAGAUCCAUCUACUAGUCACAGCCUUCUUCCCUUUUGGUAACUCACUCUCAUACCAUGUAUCAUUCUUGAUCAUAGCUCCUGCCUCAGCUCCAACUGACUCCUUCCAUUCUUUAUCCAUGAUUGCUUCUUCAUAGCUUCUUGGGAUGUAGUUCUCAUCCAAGUUAACCAUGAAGGCACAAUGUUCUUCAGGGUAUUGAGCAAAGGAACACACAACUUGAGAAGGAUGCUCCACAGCUUGGGCAUUGUAGUACACUCGCGUGUUUACCCAAGAGGAAGGAUCCUUUCUCAGCCUUGUGCUCCUCCUCAAUACAGGUUGUUCUUGCUCUUGAACCGGCUCAGCUUGUGUAUGCGGUUCUUGUGCUUCACUCUGAUGUUCUUCCUCUCCUUGGUCUUGCUCACCUUGAUGAUGAGAACCUGAGUUGAACUCUCCUUCCUCACUCAAGCCGACUCCUUCUUGGCCAUUUUCUUGAGUUUCAGGUUCACUUCCCCCCUCAUGAUCAAGGUGAGGUGUUUGAGCAGCUCCACUUGGUGCAGUUGAGCUCUCUUCUUGUCUUCCACUUCUUGUGGAUUGAUCCUGGUUCAUCUUGAUACCAAGACCUUCCAAAAUGAUUCUUAAGACUCCAGCCUUAUCUGAUGUGAGAUCCUUCAAAUCUUCUUGAUUCUUCUCCUCAUAGUAUCCUCUUUCUUCAAUGAACUUCACAUCUCUAGAUACAAGUACCCUUCUAGCUUCUGGAUCAUAACACUUAUAUCCUUUUUGAGUUGUUGAGUAGCCAAUGAACAUUGCCUUUCUGCUCCUUGCUUCUAGCUUGUUCCUCAACUCUCCUGGUACUAGAACAUAGCAUAAGCAUCCAAACACUCUCAUGUAUUCCAAGGAUGGCUUGCGCUUGUUCAGAACUUCAAAUGGUGCUUGAUCCUUCAACACCUUUGUAGGCAUCCUGUUGAUUAGGUAGCACGCAGUGGAUACAGCAUCACUCCAGAAUCUCUUAGGUACAUUAGCUUGGAACAUCAGUGACCGAGCCACUUCCAUCAAGUGCCUGUUCUUCCUCUCAGCUACACCAUUCUGUUGUGGUGUGUAGGGACAGCUUGUUUGAUGAAGGAUUCCAUGGUGAUCUAGAUGACUCUUGAACGCAUAGCUUGUGUACUCUCCUCCAUUAUCUGAUCUCAAAAUUUUAAUCCUAGCAUGAUAAUGGUUAGUCACAUAAGCUUGAAAGUUCUUGAAUGCAUCUAUCACCCUAUCUUUUGAUGGAAUGAGUGUUAACCAGGUGUAUUUCGAUUUUUCAUCAAUGAAUGUGACAAAAUACUUAUGAUUAUCUCUAGAAAAACUAGGUGCAGUCCACACAUCAGUAUGAAUCAAAUCAAAGCAAUUUUCAUAAACAGUAGAUGUUCUUGGAAACACAUUCUUACAAUGCUUGCCUAAAAUGCAAGCUUCACACUUAUUAUUUUCAAAAACCACACCUGGUAACAUCAAGUUUAAAGCCCUCUCAUGGGGAUGACCUAGUCUAGCAUGCCACAAUGCAUUUUUAUUCAAACUAGAAGCAGAAGUAAAUGAGCAGUUAUAAUUGGAAACAGGAUCAAGCUUCUCAAGCAUGUAUAAGUCUCCCUUUGUAACUCCUUUUCCAAUCAAUUGGCUGCUCUCAAUAUCCUGAAACUUCACAUCAUUAGGACUGAAUAUAACAUUGCAAUUCAAAUCAGUAGUGCAUUUCUUAACUGAAAGUAGAUUUGAUGUGAAUUCCGGAAUGUAAAAAGCUCUAGUGUUCUUAUCAAAUAGCUUUAAGUUUCCUAUUCCCUUAAUAGGUAUCUUAUCCCCAUUUGCAAUCAUCACACAUCCAUUAGUAGGUUCUAUAUCUUUAAUCAGGUUGGUGUCACUAAUCAUAUGAUGAGAUGCACCUGAAUCUAUAAUCAAUGGUUUGGAUGUAUUGCUAGCACUAUGGCAGAUGCUAAUCUGUGAUCUAUAUGCAUUCAUCCUAGCAUUUCUAUCAAUGCAAUGCUCAAUUCCAGUCUUACUAUCAAUCCUAGCAAUCUCAGCCACUGCACUAUGGCAGAUGCUAAUCUGUGAUCUAUAUGCAUUCACCCUAGCAUUUCUAUCAAUGCAAUGCUCAAUUCCAGUCUUACUAUCAAUCCUAGCAAUCUCAGCCACAUUAGGAGUCAUUUCUAUAGUUCUAGCAAUCAUAGAAGCACCAAAUGAAUACCCAUGAAUGUUACCAUUAUCCUUGAGCAUUUUGAUGAGUGCAUCCAUCUCGGAUCUCCUGAUGAAGUCUUGAUCAUUGCCUCGGGGGUUGAUGGCUCCAGUGUAGGUCACCAAAGCCUUUCCAUCUCCUUCACGGUUCUCCACCAUCUCCUGAUGAAGUCUUGAUCAUUGCCUCGGGGGUUGAUAGCUCCAGUGUAGGUCACCAAAGCCUUUCCAUCUCCUUCACGGUUCUCCACUUCAGCUCCACGGUUGGAUGGCCCUGCUCCGCUUGAUCCUUCAGUCAUGUGAGCUUUUGCCUCUCUCUCCUUCAUGAACUUAGCCGGCUUCAAGUGGGGAUGGAGUAUCCAGCACUGACUCUUCUUGUGUCCAUGCUUCUUGCAGUGAUCACAAUUCCCAUUGAACUUCCUAUCCUCAUACUUGUUGUAACCAGCUUUGUUAGCUUGUGGAGGCUCUUCCCGGUCAGGUUGCACAGCGUUUGCAAGAGAUAAGUCUCCCUUGCCUCCAAACAAACCCAUUGAGCCCUGCUCCUUCUGUAUCUUAGCACACACCUCUUCAAGGUCAGGCAGCUUCUCAGACCAUAGCAUGUGCUGGAUAAGACCACUGUAGCUUGCAUUCAACGUGAGCAGCAACCCAAAGACCUUGUCCUGCUCGCGUCUCUCAUUUAGAAGCUCUGGAUCAACCGUGCUUGGCCUCAGCAUCUCCAACUCAGACCAAAGAGACCUGAACCUCCCCAAGUGCUUAGUGAACUCCGUGUCAUCUUGAGUUAACCCAUUGAUUGCCUUCUUGACUUCAAACACUCGGUUCAGGUUAGAAGUGUUUCCAUACACUUUCUGUAGAGUAUCCCACAGCUCCUUGGCUGUCUCACAGUAGCUAUAAGCAUCUAGUAUAGCCGGCUCCAAAGAGGCAUGUAGGACAGACAUCACCAUCAUGUCUUCUUGUUGCCACUUCUCUACAACACUCUCCUCGGGACUCUCCGUUUCACCCCCCUGAGUAAUCACCUUUGGAGCCUCACCAGAUGUGAUAUGCUUCCACAAACCCUUGCUUCCCACAGCAGUUUUCACCAUCCUAGACCAGACUAGGUAGUUGGUUCCUUUGAAUGUCACCGCGACCUUCAUCUUCAUGCCACUCUCCAUCUUGAACAGCUUGACGUUUAAAACUUGAACAACCGGUUAGAUCUUGAACUGAGAACCCACGCUGCUCUCUAGAACACAGAUUAACUCUUGAGUCUUCAAAUGAACCUCCCACGGACCACCAAGACACACACAAAACACCUUGAGCUUUUGAACUCUCAAGAAACUCUCAAACACACUCACUUGUUCUCUUAAAGUUUCAAACUUGAAUCCUUAAGAGAAUCACUCACGAACUCAGAUUGUAAUCAACCUGGCUCUGAUACCUUAUGACUUUUAGGAAUAUAAAGAUUAAUCUGAGUUUAGAAUAGGAUUAAGGAAGAGAAUAAGAGAUUUAGGAAACUGAUUAGAGACUAAUGGAGAAUCAUGAUGAAAUGAGUAAAGAGAAAGAUUGUUUAGAACUGUCUAAUCUUUAUUAAUGAUCUUGAGUUACAAUAUAUAGUAAGGAGAGCUUAGGGUUUCGAUCACAAAAGGAUAAGGAAAGCAUGUGAAGUCAAAAGGAGGAGGAGCCUAUAUUUGAAUCCGGCCAAUGAGCUUCUCCAAGUGUGUGAGGCAUCUAGCAUCUUCCCAUAGAUGCUGUUUACUUUCCAGUCCAUGCCAGACUGUCAGUCCGCGCCUAAUCCCUUCUUCCUCCGCGGUCUUAUCCACUCCAAAGCUUAUCCUCCUCUCCACUAAGUUACCUUGGUAACUUAUCUUUACCUUGGUGAGUUUGGUUGAUGUCCUAUGUACGGAUGGUACGGCCUGUACGGCCUUGUACGGAUCACUCAACCCAAACUCAUCUCUUCUUUCAUACUUCAUCUCUUCCUCUAAUGCCUUAACUCCCUUAGCUCCUCUUCUCAUAUACUUAACUCUGAUCAACAAAAGUGAUUCAUCCUGGUUUGAUUGGAACGACGAAGAAGCUGUGCUAUUCCCAAACUGGGAAACUGGAAUCACCUGAUUUGAAAGUGGGAUAACUUCUUCAUCCCAACUCCUAUGAGAUUUAUUCAACUUCAUGGUGAUUCUCCACCACUUUAUGUAUCCAAAUGAAGCACAAAGUUAUGACUUUUAGGAAUAUAAAGAUUAAUCUGAGUUUAGAAUAGGAUUAAGGAAGAGAAUAAGAGAUUUAGGAAACUGAUUAGAGACUAAUGGAGAAUCAUGAUGAAAUGAGUAAAGAGAAAGAUUGUUUAGAACUGUCUAAUCUUUAUUAAUGAUCUUGAGUUACAAUAUAUAGUAAGGAGAGCUUAGGGUUUCGAUCACAAAAGGAUAAGGAAAGCAUGUGAAGUCAAAAGGAGGAGGAGCCUAUAUUU